This is a long non-coding RNA of Talpa occidentalis (Iberian mole), 467 nucleotides long. RefSeq lists it as uncharacterized. Lineage: Eukaryota; Metazoa; Chordata; Mammalia; Eulipotyphla; Talpidae. The transcript has 3 exons. The record is from RefSeq and is a predicted model, not a curated record.
UACUCUCCAUAUACUACGUCUUCUGUAAAAGGAUGAAAAUGUUGAAGAUGAUGAUGGUUUCUAUCCCAUAAAAAUCAAGGCUACACAGCUUCCUAAGAGGAUUCAUUAUGAGAAAAUCAUCAACCACAGCUUUAAGCCUUUGCCUUAGAAGAACUAAUGAGAGAGCCAAUUGGAAGGGUACGCAGUGUGCAUAACUUCAUUCAUAGAAGAUGGGUAAAGGAUGAUAGUUUUCCUGCAUUAUCCAACCUGAAAUUGAUAACUUUGUUAAUAGUGCUCUUGGUGACUGAACAGUCUUCAUCAUCUGGUAAGCAAAUUCUUGGGCAGUUAGUCUCCCACCCCCGCCGCAGCAACUUGGGUGACAUGGACUAACUGUUCAGCAUGAAUGGGUCAAGAAAGAUGUGCUGGUUAUCAGCUGGCUUCCUAGGGAUCCAGAAAGAGCUUUAAGCCUAGAACAUGCCCGCAUAAGA